CGACCGCUGGCGCCGUGCUUAACACAUGCACGUCGAACGGAAAGGCCCUGCUUUUGUGGGGUGCUCGAGUGGCGAACGGGUGAGUAACACGUGAGUAACCUGCCCUUGACUUUGGGAUAACUUCAGGAAACUGGGGCUAAUACCGGAUAGGAGCUCCUGCUGCAUGGUGGGGGUUGGAAAGUUUCGGCGGUUGGGGAUGGACUCGCGGCUUAUCAGCUUGUUGGUGGGGUAGUGGCUUACCAAGGCUUUGACGGGUAGCCGGCCUGAGAGGGUGACCGGCCACAUUGGGACUGAGAUACGGCCCAGACUCCUACGGGAGGCAGCAGUGGGGAAUAUUGCACAAUGGGCGGAAGCCUGAUGCAGCAACGCCGCGUGCGGGAUGACGGCCUUCGGGUUGUAAACCGCUUUCGCCUGUGACGAAGCGUGAGUGACGGUAAUGGGUAAAGAAGCACCGGCUAACUGCGUG
This 466-nucleotide ribosomal RNA is filed under the name uncultured bacterium. RNAcentral's name for it is "partial 16S ribosomal RNA". It matches the Rfam family "Bacterial small subunit ribosomal RNA", at positions 30 to 507 of the family's 1533-position model. The record is from RNAcentral.